RNAcentral lists this ribosomal RNA (736 nucleotides) under uncultured Pseudomonas sp. RNAcentral's name for it is "bacterial SSU rRNA". It matches the Rfam family "Bacterial small subunit ribosomal RNA", at positions 21 to 750 of the family's 1533-position model. The record is from RNAcentral. Lineage: Bacteria; Pseudomonadati; Pseudomonadota; Gammaproteobacteria; Pseudomonadales; Pseudomonadaceae.
GGCUCAGAUUGAACGCUGGCGGCAGGCCUAACACAUGCAAGUCGAGCGGCAGCACGGGUACUUGUACCUGGUGGCGAGCGGCGGACGGGUGAGUAAUGCCUAGGAAUCUGCCUGGUAGUGGGGGAUAACGUUCGGAAACGAACGCUAAUACCGCAUACGUCCUACGGGAGAAAGCAGGGGACCUUCGGGCCUUGCGCUAUCAGAUGAGCCUAGGUCGGAUUAGCUAGUUGGUGAGGUAAUGGCUCACCAAGGCGACGAUCCGUAACUGGUCUGAGAGGAUGAUCAGUCACACUGGAACUGAGACACGGUCCAGACUCCUACGGGAGGCAGCAGUGGGGAAUAUUGGACAAUGGGCGAAAGCCUGAUCCAGCCAUGCCGCGUGUGUGAAGAAGGUCUUCGGAUUGUAAAGCACUUUAAGUUGGGAGGAAGGGCAGUUACCUAAUACGUGAUUGUUUUGACGUUACCGACAGAAUAAGCACCGGCUAACUCUGUGCCAGCAGCCGCGGUAAUACAGAGGGUGCAAGCGUUAAUCGGAAUUACUGGGCGUAAAGCGCGCGUAGGUGGUUCGUUAAGUUGGAUGUGAAAUCCCCGGGCUCAACCUGGGAACUGCAUUCAAAACUGUCGAGCUAGAGUAUGGUAGAGGGUGGUGGAAUUUCCUGUGUAGCGGUGAAAUGCGUAGAUAUAGGAAGGAACACCAGUGGCGAAGGCGACCACCUGGACUGAUACUGACACUGAG